Molecule: ribosomal RNA, 122 nt
Filed under: Pteropus alecto (black flying fox)
Lineage: Eukaryota; Metazoa; Chordata; Mammalia; Chiroptera; Pteropodidae
Source: RNAcentral
GUCUACGUCAAUGCCACCCUGAACAUGCCCGAUCUCAUCAGAUCUUGGAAGCUAAGCAGGGUCGGGCCUGGUUAGUAUUUGAUAGAUCAUGCAAGCAAAAUAUCAAUAAGGAAAUGACAUCC